RNAcentral lists this ribosomal RNA (465 nucleotides) under Vreelandella stevensii. Its description in RNAcentral is "partial 16S ribosomal RNA". It matches the Rfam family "Bacterial small subunit ribosomal RNA", at positions 338 to 795 of the family's 1533-position model. The record is from RNAcentral. Lineage: Bacteria; Pseudomonadati; Pseudomonadota; Gammaproteobacteria; Oceanospirillales; Halomonadaceae.
CCUACGGGGGGCUACAGUGGGGAAUAUUGGACAAUGGGGGCAACCCUGAUCCAGCCAUGCCGCGUGUGUGAAGAAGGCCCUCGGGUUGUAAAGCACUUUCAGUGAGGAAGAACGCCUGGUGGUUAAUACCCAUCAGGAAAGACAUCACUCACAGAAGAAGCACCGGCUAACUCCGUGCCAGCAGCCGCGGUAAUACGGAGGGUGCGAGCGUUAAUCGGAAUUACUGGGCGUAAAGCGCGCGUAGGUGGCUUGAUAAGCCGGUUGUGAAAGCCCCUGGCUCAACCUGGGAACGGCAUCCGGAACUGUCAAGCUAGAGUGCAGGAGAGGAAGGUAGAAUUCCCGGUGUAGCGGUGAAAUGCGUAGAGAUCGGGAGGAAUACCAGUGGCGAAGGCGGCCUUCUGGACUGACACUGACACUGAGGUGCGAAAGCGUGGGUAGCAAACAGGAUUAGAUAUCCUUGUAGUC